GACGAACGCUGGCGGCGUGCUUAACACAUGCAAGUCGAACGGAAAGGCCCUGCUUUUGUGGGGUGCUCGAGUGGCGAACGGGUGAGUAACACGUGAGUAACCUGCCCUUGACUUUGGGAUAACUUCAGGAAACUGGGGCUAAUACCGGAUAGGAGCUCCUGCUGCAUGGUGGGGGUUGGAAAGUUUCGGCGGUUGGGGAUGGACUCGCGGCUUAUCAGCUUGUUGGUGGGGUAGUGGCUUACCAAGGCUUUGACGGGUAGCCGGCCUGAGAGGGUGACCGGCCACAUUGGGACUGAGAUACGGCCCAGACUCCUACGGGAGGCAGCAGUGGGGAAUAUUGCACAAUGGGCGGAAGCCUGAUGCAGCAACGCCGCGUGCGGGAUGACGGCCUUCGGGUUGUAAACCGCUUUCGCCUGUGACGAAGCGUGAGUGACGGUAAUGGGUAAAGAAGCACCGGCUAACUACGUGCCAGCAGCCGCGGUGAUACGUAGGGUGCGAGCGUUGUCCGGAUUUAUUGGGCGUAAAGGGCUCGUAGGUGGUUGAUCACGUCGGAAGUGUAAUCUUGGGGCUUAACCCUGAGCGUGCUUUCGAUACGGGUUGACUUGAGGAAGGUAGGGGAGAAUGGAAUUCCUGGUGGAGCGGUGGAAUGCGCAGAUAUCAGGGGGAACACCAGUGGCGAAGGCGGUUCUCUGGGCCUUUCCUGACGCUGAGGAGCGAAAGCGUGGGGAGCGAACAGGCUUAGAUACCCUGGUAGUCCACGCUGUAAACGGUGGGUACUAGGUGUGGGGUCCAUUCCACGGGUUCCGUGCCGUAGCUAACGCUUUAAGUACCCCGCCUGGGGAGUACGGCCGCAAGGCUAAAACUCAAAGGAAUUGACGGGGCCCCGCACAAGCGGCGGAGCAUGCGGAUUAAUUCGAUGCAACGCGUAGAACCUUACCUGGGUUUGACAUGGAUCGGGAGUGCUCAGAGAUGGGUGUGCCUCUUUUGGGGUCGGUUCACAGGUGGUGCAUGGCUGUCGUCAGCUCGUGUCGUGAGAUGUUGGGUUAAGUCCCGCAACGAGCGCAACCCUUGUUCACUGUUGCCAGCACGUUAUGGUGGGGACUCAGUGGAGACCGCCGGGGUCAACUCGGAGGAAGGUGGGGAUGACGUCAAGUCAUCAUGCCCCUUAUGUCCAGGGCUUCACGCAUGCUACAAUGGCUGGUACAGAGAGUGGCGAGCCUGUGAGGGUGAGCGAAUCUCGGAAAGCCGGUCUCAGUUCGGAUUGGGGUCUGCAACUCGACCUCAUGAAGUCGGAGUCGCUAGUAAUCGCAGAUCAGCAACGCUGCGGUGAAUAAGUUCCCGGGGCU
RNAcentral lists this ribosomal RNA (1346 nucleotides) under uncultured bacterium. Its description in RNAcentral is "partial 16S ribosomal RNA". It matches the Rfam family "Bacterial small subunit ribosomal RNA", at positions 28 to 1381 of the family's 1533-position model. The record is from RNAcentral.